Molecule: ribosomal RNA, 435 nt
Filed under: uncultured bacterium
Lineage: Bacteria
Description: bacterial SSU rRNA
Rfam family: Bacterial small subunit ribosomal RNA
Source: RNAcentral
CAGCGCCUAACACAUGCAAGUCGAACGCCCCGCAAGGGGAGUGGCAGACGGUGUGAGUAACACGUGGGAACGUACCCUUUGGUUCGGAACAACCCUGGGAAACUAGGGCUAAUACCGGAUACGCGCGAGAGCGGAAAGGUUUACCGCCGAAGGAUCGGCCCGCGUCUGAUUAGCUAGUUGGUGAGGUAACGGCUCACCAAGGCGACGAUCACUAGCUGGUCUGAGAGGAUGAUCAGCCACAUUGGGACUGAGACACGGCCCAAACUCCUACGGGAGGCAACAGUGGGGAAUAUUGGACAAUGGGCGCAAUCCUGAUCCAGCCAUGCCGCGUGAGUGAUGACGGCCCUAGGGUUGUAAAGCUCUUUUACCUGCGAAGAUAAUGACGGUACCACCAGAAUAAGCCCCGGCUACCUUCGUGCCAGCAGCCGCGGUAAU